RNAcentral lists this ribosomal RNA (378 nucleotides) under Escherichia coli. RNAcentral's name for it is "partial 23S ribosomal RNA". It matches the Rfam family "Bacterial large subunit ribosomal RNA", at positions 540 to 920 of the family's 2925-position model. The record is from RNAcentral. Lineage: Bacteria; Pseudomonadati; Pseudomonadota; Gammaproteobacteria; Enterobacterales; Enterobacteriaceae. RNAcentral also lists the same sequence under 1 other name.
GAAAAAGAACCUGAAACCGUGUACGUACAAGCAGUGGGAGCACGCUUAGGCGUGUGACUGCGUACCUUUUGUAUAAUGGGUCAGCGACUUAUAUUCUGUAGCAAGGUUAACCGAAUAGGGGAGCCGAAGGGAAACCGAGUCUUAACUGGGCGUUAAGUUGCAGGGUAUAGACCCGAAACCCGGUGAUCUAGCCAUGGGCAGGUUGAAGGUUGGGUAACACUAACUGGAGGACCGAACCGACUAAUGUUGAAAAAUUAGCGGAUGACUUGUGGCUGGGGGUGAAAGGCCAAUCAAACCGGGAGAUAGCUGGUUCUCCCCGAAAGCUAUUUAGGUAGCGCCUCGUGAAUUCAUCUCCGGGGGUAGAGCACUGUUUCGGCA